This 201-nucleotide unclassified non-coding RNA is filed under the name uncultured fungus. RNAcentral's name for it is "sequence contains ITS1". Lineage: Eukaryota; Fungi. The record is from RNAcentral.
GUACAUUAGUGCUUGCGCACGACAAACGUUUUCAUUCCAUUCGAGUGUGUGUGUAAAAAUCCUCUGCCAGCCGAAGCUAGCAAGAGGCCAAAGGUUCACAGGGUAUUGGAUGAAAGCCACCAACGUGCACUUGCAAAAGCCAGCACCGAAGGCAACCAUUCGCAAUCUUUAAUGAUCCUUCCGCAGGUUCACCUACGGAAA